UACGAACCGUACAAACGUUAUUCGGAAUCACUGGGCUUGAAGGGUGCGUAGGCGGCCAUGUAAGUGAGGUGUGAAAUCCCUCGGCUCAACCGAGGAACUGCGCUUCAUACUGCAUGGCUUGAGGGAGACAGGGGUAAGCGGAACUGAUGGUGGAGCGGUGAAAUGCGUUGAUAUCAUCAGGAACACCGGUGGCGAAAGCGGCUUACUGGGUCUCUUCUGACGCUGAGGUACGAAAGCUAGGGUAGCGAACGGG
RNAcentral lists this ribosomal RNA (253 nucleotides) under uncultured bacterium. Its description in RNAcentral is "partial 16S ribosomal RNA". It matches the Rfam family "Bacterial small subunit ribosomal RNA", at positions 524 to 776 of the family's 1533-position model. The record is from RNAcentral.